UACGGAGGGUGCGAGCGUUGUCCGGAAUCACUGGGCGUAAAGGGCGCGUAGGCGGCGCGGAAAGUCGUCGGUGAAAGCUCGGGGCUCAACCCUGAGUCUGCCGGUGAUACUCCCGCGCUCGAGCUCACUAGAGGCAGAUGGAAUUCCGGGUGUAGCGGUGGAAUGCGUAGAGAUCCGGAAGAACACCGGUGGCGAAGGCGGGACUCUGGGCCGAGUACUGACGCGUGAGGAGCGGAAAGCGUGGGGAGCAAAGCAGGGAU
Molecule: ribosomal RNA, 260 nt
Filed under: uncultured bacterium
Lineage: Bacteria
Description: partial 16S ribosomal RNA
Rfam family: Bacterial small subunit ribosomal RNA
Source: RNAcentral